Molecule: ribosomal RNA, 253 nt
Filed under: uncultured bacterium
Lineage: Bacteria
Description: partial 16S ribosomal RNA
Rfam family: Bacterial small subunit ribosomal RNA
Source: RNAcentral
UACGGAGGGAGCUAGCGUUGUUCGGAAUUACUGGGCGUAAAGCGCACGUAGGCGGAUCUUUAAGUCAGAGGUGAAAUCCCAAGGCUCAACCUUGGAACUGCCUUUGAUACUGGGGAUCUUGAGUCCGGGAGAGGUGAGUGGAACUGCGAGUGUAGAGGUGAAAUUCGUAGAUAUUCGCAAGAACACCAGUGGCGAAGGCGGCUCACUGGCCCGAUACUGACGCUGAGGCACGAAAGCGUGGGGAGCAAACAGG